This 440-nucleotide ribosomal RNA is filed under the name uncultured bacterium. RNAcentral describes it as "partial 16S ribosomal RNA". It matches the Rfam family "Bacterial small subunit ribosomal RNA", at positions 338 to 795 of the family's 1533-position model. The record is from RNAcentral.
CCUACGGGUGGCAGCAGUGGGGAAUUUUGCGCAAUGCUCGUAAGAGUGACGCAGCGACGCCGCGUGAAGGAAGAAGUAUUUCGGUAUGUAAACUUCUAUCAGCAGGGAAGAAAAUGACGGUACCUGACUAAGAAGCCCCGACUAACUACGUGCCAGCAGCCGCGGUAAUACGUAGGGGGCAAGCGUUAUCCGGAUUUACUGGGUGUAAAGGGAGCGUAGGCGGUUCAGCAAGUCAGAAGUGAAAGCCCGGGGCUCAACUCCGGGACUGCUUUUGAAACUGUUGAACUAGAUUGCAGGAGAGGUAAGUGGAAUUCCUAGUGUAGCGGUGAAAUGCGUAGAUAUUAGGAGGAACACCAGUGGCGAAGGCGGCUUACUGGACUGUAAAUGACGCUGAGGCUCGAAAGCGUGGGGAGCAAACAGGAUUAGAUACCCUUGUAGUC